AUCGGAUAGACUACAGGAUCCCCUAGUAACUGCGAGUGAAGCGGGAAAAGCUCAAAUUUAAAAUCUGGCGGUCUUUGGCCGUCCGAGUUGUAGUCUGGAGAAGCGUCUUCCGCGUUGGACCGUGUACAAGUCUCUUGGAACAGAGCGUCAUAGAGGGUGAGAAUCCCGUCUUUGACACGGACUACCAAUGCUUUGUGAUGCGCUCUCAAAGAGUCGCGUUGUUUGGGAAUGCAGCGCAAAAUGGGAGGUGAAUUCCUUCUAAAGCUAAAUAUUGGCGAGAGACCGAUAGCGAACAAGUACCGUGAGGGAAAGAUGAAAAGCACUUUGGAAAGAGAGUUAAACAGUACGUGAAAUUGCUAAAAGGGAAACGCUUGAAGUCAGUCGCGUCGUCCGGAACUCAGCUUUGCUUCGGCUUAGUGCACUUUCCGGUUGACGGGCCAGCAUCGAUUUUGACCGCUGGAAAAGGGCUGGAGGAAUGUGGCACCUUCGGGUGUGUUAUAGCCUUCAGUCGCAUACAGCGGUUGGGAUCGAGGAACGCAGCGCGCCUUAUGGCUGGGGUUCGCCCACAUUCGCGCUUAGGAUGCUGGCAUAAUGGCUUUAAACGACCCGUCUUGAAACACGGACCAAGGAGUCUAACAUGCCUGCGAGUGUUUGGGUGGAAAACCCGAGCGCGUAAUGAAAGUGAAAGUUGAGACCUCUGUCGUGGAGGGCAUCGACGCCCGGACCUGACGUUUUCUGAAGGAUCCGCGGUAGAGCAUGUAUGUUGGGACCCGAAAGAUGGUGAACUAUGCCUGAAUAGGGUGAAGCCAGAGGAAACUCUGGUGGAGGCUCGUAGCGAUUCUGACGUGCAAAUCGAUCGUCAAAUUUGGGUAUAGGGGCGAAAGACUAAUCGAACCAUCUAGUAGCUGGUUCCUGCG
RNAcentral lists this ribosomal RNA (917 nucleotides) under Trametes versicolor. Its description in RNAcentral is "partial large subunit ribosomal RNA". It matches the Rfam family "Eukaryotic large subunit ribosomal RNA", at positions 49 to 962 of the family's 3401-position model. The record is from RNAcentral. Lineage: Eukaryota; Fungi; Basidiomycota; Agaricomycetes; Polyporales; Polyporaceae.